UACGUAGGGUGCAAGCGUUAAUCGGAAUUACUGGGCGUAAAGCGUGCGCAGGCGGUUUUGUAAGUCUGUCGUGAAAUCCCCGGGCUCAACCUGGGAAUUGCGAUGGAGACUGCAAGGCCAGAAUCUGGCAGAGGGGGGUAGAAUUCCACGUGUGGCAGUGAAAUGCGUAGAGAUGUGGAGGAACACCGAUGGCGAAGGCAGCCCCCUGGGUCAAGAUUGACGCUCAUGCACGAAAGCGUGGGGAGCAAACAGG
RNAcentral lists this ribosomal RNA (253 nucleotides) under uncultured bacterium. Its description in RNAcentral is "partial 16S ribosomal RNA". It matches the Rfam family "Bacterial small subunit ribosomal RNA", at positions 524 to 776 of the family's 1533-position model. The record is from RNAcentral.